UACGUAGGGACCAAGCGUUGUUCGGAUUUACUGGGCGUAAAGGCGCGUAGGCGGCAAUUCAAGUCAGCUGUGAAAUCUCUGGGCUUAACCCAGAACGGCCAGCUGAUACUGCUUUGCUAGAGUGCAGAAGGGGCAAUCGGAAUUCUUGGUGUAGCGGUGAAAUGACGCAGAUAUCGGGAGGAACACCGGUGGCGAAGGCGGCGACCUGGGUAGAUACUGACGCUGAGGCGCGAAAGCGUGGGGAGCAAACAGG
RNAcentral lists this ribosomal RNA (253 nucleotides) under uncultured bacterium. RNAcentral describes it as "partial 16S ribosomal RNA". It matches the Rfam family "Bacterial small subunit ribosomal RNA", at positions 524 to 776 of the family's 1533-position model. The record is from RNAcentral.